This is a non-coding RNA of Lolium perenne, 1807 nucleotides long. The record is from RefSeq and is a predicted model, not a curated record. NCBI's taxonomy places the organism in Eukaryota, Viridiplantae, Streptophyta, Magnoliopsida, Poales, Poaceae.
CUUGUUUGUCUACGCAUAAUUAUACCUGCGGUGUUACUCCGUGGUGAGACAACUGGGGCACCUACGGCCUACGGGAAACUCCAGCUUGAACCAUUUUUCUCCAGCACCGCUUGCAAGCAUAGAACCACCAGUCGUUUGGAUCGUCCACAAUGGUGCAAAAUAAUAUGCAGGAACUCAGUAUGCAAAACAAUGUGGCAAACUAUGCGGUCUUGCACCAAAAUGAUUUUCGGUAAGCAGCCAUGGGCAACUAAGAGGUAGGAUAAAGCACAGGCAAGACAGAAGAGUAAAUUACCGCCAACAGCGGUGUCAGGAAGCUCUUCAACAGGUCCCUUGCCUAACCAUAUCUCCCGCCUCCGAGCCUCUACAUCAGACAUUAUAGGCAGGACAACAGUGUAGUCUGAAGGAACAUGCCUGGAAGAAUUGUUAGUAGACGAAGCCCCGAAGGCAACAGAACAUGCAAUCGUAGGCCUACCCCGCCAUAGAGAACGGGCCGAAGGGCAGUACUUCGUGCGCGCAUAGGCGACAAAGAGCGCAGAGAGCCAGCAGCCGACAGAAGGAGAACCCACAACCAUCGAAGAACAGCCACGGCCAACACUCACAGCAGGAGCAACAUCUUGCGAACCAGGCGUGGAGGUGGAGAAACUGACGUGGAAGGUGGGUUUUCAGGCCGACAACGCCCAGAUCCCCGAUGUAUGUCCAUAGCAGGUUGCGCAGCAGAUGGAGAACCACCAGCAAUCACGGUGGGAACCCCAACCGACAAAUAAGCAGAGAGAUCAGAGGCAGUAGCAGCAACCAGAGGAAAAGCAGAAGACCAGUAACCGCGGAGAAACCGUGGCCACGCCCACAGGAACUUGAUGAACGACAGCGAGACUACACAGAAGAGAUAUCCUCCAAACCACGGCAAUGAUGCGGAACCGGCAGCGGAGGCAACGGCGCCGAGGGCAUAGGCAGCGGCACGGACGUCAACAAAUCAGAAACAGGAGGCAACUCAUCGACGCCACGCCGGCGCGUGACCAAAGGUGGAGGCGGCGACGCGGCAGGUGAACGGCCUCGCCUACGGGCCAACCACAUGACGCCCACUCAUACAAAAGCCUGCAAAAAGAAGACCAGAUUAGACAGGACAGUGAAGAAGAAGAUGGAGAAGAGAGCAGAACAAAACGGAUGAACCAAAACCUAGCAGAAGCGCAAGGAAGAGAAUUGAAAUCAAGAAUAAAAAGGACAUCAAGAAGGAGGAGACACAGGAACGCCGAGAUGGAGCCGUGAGGGAAAGGAAAAAUUACCAGAGGAAAGGAGAAAAGAGGGGGAGAUAAGCGGCAAGUAAAUAGCAAACCGUUCCAGAAUAUCAGCAGCACAACACGUAUCCCACAUGAAAAGAAGACGUGUCGCAGAUGGAAACCCACUAUCUAAGGAAACCGGAGCCACCGGAGAUCAGAGGUCCACGGAAGGAAAGAAAUAAUAGGAAAAAUAAAGAACCGGUUUGAAAAGAAGGGAACAAUCGGAUAGCUUCCGGUAAUCACGUAUUGUACGAAGGAAAAUAAAGUGAGAGGAGAAACUGAACCAGCGGGAACCAUGGCCAUCUACAGGGAAAAAUGCUUAGGUGGUGAUGCGUGAUUAGAGGAAACGAUAGAGGGAACAGUGCCCAAAUCUCUCUCCUCACGGUAAAAGGGUUCAGCUUUGAUAUAGUUUAUUAUUUAUUUAUUUAUAAUAACCCAAGCCUUCUAAAUCCUUGUAUAUCGCUGGGAUCGGCCACCGAUCGCACGUGCUGACGUAGGGUAGUUUUAUACGUCUGCGUGUGCUCGUGCGUAUA